CCUACGGGAGGCAGCAGUGAGGAAUAUUGGUCAAUGGGCGCGAGCCUGAACCAGCCAAGUCGCGUGAGGGAAGACGGUACUAUGGAUUGUAAACCUCUUUUGUCGGGGAGCAAAAGACGCCACGCGUGGCGUUCCGCGAGUACCCGAAGUAUAAGCAUCGGCUAACUCCGUGCCAGCAGCCGCGGUAAUACGGGGGAUGCGAGCGUUAUCCGGAUUUAGUGGGUUUAAAGGGUGCGCAGGCGGAAGAUCAAGUCAGCGGUAAAAUUGCGGGGCUCAACCUCUUCGAGCCGUUGAAACUGGUUUUCUUGAGUGAGCGAGAAGUAUGCGGAAUGCGUGGUGUAGCGGUGAAAUGCAUAGAUAUCACGCAGAACUCCGAUUGCGAAGGCAGCAUACCGGCGCUCAACUGACGCUCAUGCACGAAAGUGUGGGUAUCGAACAGGAUUAGAUACCCCGGUAGUC
This 459-nucleotide ribosomal RNA is filed under the name uncultured bacterium. RNAcentral describes it as "partial 16S ribosomal RNA". It matches the Rfam family "Bacterial small subunit ribosomal RNA", at positions 338 to 795 of the family's 1533-position model. The record is from RNAcentral.